ACUCAAAUGAAUUGACGGGGGCCCGCACAAGCGGUGGAGCAUGUGGUUUAAUUCGAUGCAACGCGCAGAACCUUACCUGGGUUUGAACUACAACAGACAGGUGCAGAAAUGCACUCUCCCUUCGGGGUUGUUGAAGAGGUGCUGCAUGGCUGUCGUCAGCUCGUGUCGUGAGAUGUUGGGUUAAGUCCCGCAACGAGCGCAACCCUUGCUAGUAGUUGCCAACAGGUUAUGCUGGGAACUUUACUAGGACUGCCGGUGUCAAACCGGAGGAAGGUGGGGAUGACGUCAAGUCCUCAUGGCCCUUAUGCCCAGGGCUACACACGUGCUACAAUGGCUGGUACAAAGAGAUGCUAAAUCGCAAGAUCACGCCAACCUCAAAAAACCAGCCUCAGUUCGGAUUGCAGUCUGCAACUCGACUGCAUGAAGUCGGAAUCGCUAGUAAUCGUGGAUCAGCAUGCCACGGUGAAUACGUUCUCGGGCCUUGUACACACCGCCCGU
RNAcentral lists this ribosomal RNA (498 nucleotides) under uncultured bacterium. Its description in RNAcentral is "partial 16S ribosomal RNA". It matches the Rfam family "Bacterial small subunit ribosomal RNA", at positions 899 to 1397 of the family's 1533-position model. The record is from RNAcentral.